AUACAUGCAAGUCGAGCGGACAGAUGGGAGCUUGCUCCCUGAUGUYAGCGGCGGACGGGUGAGUAACACGUGGGUAACCUGCCUGUAAGACUGGGAUAACUCCGGGAAACCGGGGCUAAUACCGGAUGCUUGAUUGAACCGCAUGGUUCAAUUAUAAAAGGUGGCUUUUAGCUACCACUUACAGAUGGACCCGCGGCGCAUUAGCUAGUUGGUGAGGUAACGGCUCACCAAGGCAACGAUGCGUAGCCGACCUGAGAGGGUGAUCGGCCACACUGGGACUGAGACACGGCCCAGACUCCUACGGGAGGCAGCAGUAGGGAAUCUUCCGCAAUGGACGAAAGUCUGACGGAGCAACGCCGCGUGAGUGAUGAAGGUUUUCGGAUCGUAAAACUCUGUUGUUAGGGAAGAACAAGUACCGUUCGAAUAGGGCGGUACCUUGACGGUACCUAACCAGAAAGCCACGGCUAACUACGUGCCAGCAGCCGCGGUAAUACGUAGGUGGCAAGCGUUGUCCGGAAUUAUUGGGCGUAAAGSGCGCGCAGGCGGUUUCUUAAGUCUGAUGUGAAAGCCCCCGGCUCAACCGGGGAGGGUCAUUGGAAACUGGGGAACUUGAGUGCAGAAGAGGAGAGUGGAAUUCCACGUGUAGCGGUGAAAUGCGUAGAGAUGUGGAGGAACACCAGUGGCGAAGGCGACUCUCUGGUCUGUAACUGACGCUGAGGCGCGAAAGCGUGGGGAGCGAACAGGAUUAGAUACCCUGGUAGUCCACGCCGUAAACGAUGAGUGCUAAGUGUUAGAGGGUUUCCGCCYCUUUAGUGCUGCAGCAAACGCAUUAAGCACUCCGCCUGGGGAGUACGGUCGC
This 859-nucleotide ribosomal RNA is filed under the name Bacillus licheniformis. Its description in RNAcentral is "bacterial SSU rRNA". Lineage: Bacteria; Bacillati; Bacillota; Bacilli; Caryophanales; Bacillaceae. The record is from RNAcentral.